UAUGGGAAGAUCAGCCCGAGAAGGUAACAGCCCUGUAAACGAAACGUUGUUUCCUCAGUCCAGGAUCCUGAGUACGGCGGAACACGUGAAACUCCGUCGGAAUCCGGGAGGACCAUCUCCCAAGGCUAAAUACUCCCUAGUGACCGAUAGUGAACCAGUACCGUGAGGGAAAGGUGAAAAGCACCCCGGGAGGGGAGUGAAAGAGUACCUGAAACCAUGUGCCUACAAGUAGUCAGAGCCCGUUAACGGGUGAUGGCGUGCCUUUUGUAGAAUGAACCGGCGAGUUAUGCUAACGUGCGAGGUUAAGGCGGAAAGGCCGGAGCCGCAGCGAAAGCGAGUCUGAACAGGGCGAACGAGUACGUUGGUGUAAACCCGAAACCAGGUGACCUACCCAUGUCCAGGUUGAAGGUGCGGUAAAACGCACUGGAGGACCGAACCCGUGUAUGUUGAAAAAUGCUGGGAUGAGGUGUGGGUAGCGGUGAAAUUCCAAUCGAACUUGGAGAUAGCUGGUUCUCUCCGAAAUAGCUUUAGGGCUAGCCUCGGAGUUGAGAAUCGUGGAGGUAGAGCACUGUUUGGACUAGGGGCCCGUCUUGGGUUACUGAAUUCAGAUAAACUCCGAAUGCCACUGAUUUAUAUCCGGGAGUCAGACUGCGAGUGAUAAGAUCCGUAGUCGAAAGGGAAACAGCCCAGACCACCGAUUAAGGUCCCUAAAUAUGUGUUAAGUGGAAAAGGAUGUGGAAUUGCACAGACAACUAGGAUGUUGGCUCAGAAGCAGCCACCAUUUAAAGAGUGCGUAAUAGCUCACUAGUCGAGUGAUCCUGCGCCGAAAAUGUAACGGGGCUAAACACAUUACCGAAAUCGUGGAUGCAGCUUUGCUGCAUGGUAGGAGAGCGUUCUAAGGGCGGUGAAGCCGGACCGUAAGGACCGGUGGAGCGCUUAGAAGUGAGAAUGCCGGUAUGAGUAGCGAAAGACAGGUGAGAAUCCUGUCCACCGAAUGACUAAGGUUUCCUGGGGAAGGCUCGUCCUCCCAGGGUUAGUCGGGACCUAAGCUGAGGCCGAGAGGCGUAGGCGAUGGACAACGGGUUGAUAUUCCCGUACCGGUCUGAUUUGUUUGAGCAAUGGAGGGACGCAGGAGGCUAACGAUGCGCACUAUCGGAUGUGCGUCCAAGCAGCGAGUCUGUCGGCGAGUCAAAUGCUUGCCGGCUCAAGGACAAGCUGUGACGGGUAUGAACGAUUUAUCGUUCUAAGUGAGUGACGUCACACUGCCAAGAAAAGCUUCUAGUUAGAAUCAGACCGCCCGUACCGCAAACCGACACAGGUAGUCGGGUCGAGAAGACCAAGGUGAGCGAGAGAACUCUCGUUAAGGAACUCGGCAAAAUGACCCCGUAACUUCGGGAGAAGGGGUGCUGAUCGCAAGAUCAGCCGCAGUGAAUAGGCCCAGGCGACUGUUUAUCAAAAACACAGGUUUCUGCAAAAUCGUAAGAUGAAGUAUAGGGGCUGACGCCUGCCCGGUGCUGGAAGGUUAAGAGGAUGGGUUAGCGCAAGCGAAGCUCAGAAUUGAAGCCCCAGUAAACGGCGGCCGUAACUAUAACGGUCCUAAGGUAGCGAAAUUCCUUGUCGGGU
RNAcentral lists this ribosomal RNA (1623 nucleotides) under human gut metagenome. Its description in RNAcentral is "bacterial LSU rRNA". It matches the Rfam family "Bacterial large subunit ribosomal RNA", at positions 341 to 1977 of the family's 2925-position model. The record is from RNAcentral.